GUUGUGUUUACUAAUCGGCAGGCGGUUGAGGCCUACUCUUCCCUUGAAAAAAAAAAAAAAGCUUCUCUCUGGUAAAUAAAUAAUGUUGCACUGGAAUAGUUUAGCAGAGUUUUAUUGUACAUAAACCUUGUUCAGCAUCUUCACAUGUAACACAGCGUAAUGACACUAACAUCUUGAAGGAUUUCUGGGCAGUGGAGUGUUAAACGGCCCCGGCAAGAGUGGCUCCCCCCACACACACUCACUGCCAGCCGAACCAAAUUGUACUUUAACUCCAGGAAAGAUGAAAUGCUGCCUCUCAUGAGGGUUGCUGUCUAUCCGGCAUCUCGCCGACAUUUAUGGAAGAAGAACUCGCCGUUGCAUGGCUUCCGCUCGACUGACAAGCUCUGAAAAAAGCAAAGACAUGAAAGACAUGAAUGAUACCUUAAAUCAUGUGGCUUGUUGAAGACAGAUGAAUGAAAAUCCUUCAUCCUCAGAACGACAUGAGGAUGCCGAAAAAUAGACUGAUGCAAAGUGGAGCCUGUCAAGCCAAUGAGGACAGAAGAUGAAGACAGGACCGCCGAAAUAAGGGUUCUCCAGAUCAAUCAGUUGGUUUCUGGGUUCUCAUAACUGCAGCAGGAGUCUGCAACCUUUGACCUGCCUGUCACUGUUGACGUGCAAGUGCAAUAGUGAUAUAAAAUGUGUUUAUUUUAGUUUCUCUUGCAUCACAUGUCAAACUACCAUUUACUCUAAUAAAAUGUUGGGCAUCCAGUGGGUCACACAGUGACACUGGUGAUGUUUUUGCUCUCAGAACAGUAUUUUAUAUUUUGCAAUUUUUGUUAUUAGUUGUCCCCAAG
Long non-coding RNA from Cyprinus carpio carpio, 833 nucleotides. NCBI's taxonomy places the organism in Eukaryota, Metazoa, Chordata, Actinopteri, Cypriniformes, Cyprinidae. The record is from Ensembl.